GCCAGGCGUGGUGGCAUGCGCCUGUAGUCCCAGCUACUUGGGAGGCUGAGGCAGGAGAAUUGCUUGAACCCAGGAGGCGGAGGUUGUAGUGAGCCGAGAUGGCGCCACUGCACUCCAGCCUGGGUGACAGAGCAAGACUCUGUCUCAA
RNAcentral lists this non-coding RNA (148 nucleotides) under Homo sapiens (human). Lineage: Eukaryota; Metazoa; Chordata; Mammalia; Primates; Hominidae. The record is from Rfam by way of RNAcentral.